RNAcentral lists this unclassified non-coding RNA (846 nucleotides) under Hevea brasiliensis (rubber tree). The record is from RNAcentral. Lineage: Eukaryota; Viridiplantae; Streptophyta; Magnoliopsida; Malpighiales; Euphorbiaceae.
AAAUCAUCAACAAACGCGAGUCGCUCAAAGAAUAGUCCUUCAACCAAUAAUUCUAACCAAUCAACAAACCAGCAAUCACAACAAAUCAAAAGAAUAAUCGAAACCCAUUAUGCGUGAUUAUAAAAGAAUAACCAAAACCCAUAAUCUGAAAUCAAAACUAAAAAUAAAGAAAAAUCAAAAGAAUGAAUCAAAAUUUAUCAACAAAAAAAGAAGCUGAAAUUAACGUAAGGGAUUACAAAUACUUAAAAGCUUGAAAUUUUGAUAAUUUCAUAAAAGCAAUAUCCCCUAAUUUGAAAUUAAACAACAAUCACAAAAAGAAGUAGUGGCAGUAGAUUGGGCGAGCAGAUGUAAAAAUGAUGAAGAACCAAUAAAAACCCAAAUCAAUACAUCAAAUACCCAAUAAAUUACAAAAGGGAAACCCCAAAUCAACACAGUAAAUCAAUAACCCAUUACCCAACUAGCACCAUGCUUCAAUACUCAAUAAGACAAAGAAGCAAGAUACAAGGAGAUCGUGAGAUGCAUGAGGUGAGAACCAAGAGGGAGAAAUGGAGGAUAGAAAUUCCAGGGAGAAGAAGACCGAUAAACAAUCUUUGGCAAACAGUAGAAUCGAUGGGUAAAUAGGCGAAAUAAACAAGACUGUGAGAGAAGAAACCUGAACCUGCGACAAAAACAAGAACUAAAAUUCUGCGUGGAAGCUUAAAUCCAAAAGGGAGAGGAGUAGCAAACAAAGGUGAGGAGCGAAUAAGGCAAGGAGGCGAGAAACGACAGCGAAAUGGUUAGAAGAGAGGCAGCAACGAGAGGUUGGUUUUGGAAGAGUAGAUUAGUAGAAUCGAGAUUAAGGGCCCG